CCUACGGGUGGCAGCAGUGGGGAAUAUUGCACAAUGGGGGAAACCCUGAUGCAGCGACGCCGCGUGAGUGAAGAAGUAUUUCGGUAUGUAAAGCUCUAUCAGCAGGGAAGAAAAUGACGGUACCUGAUUAAGAAGCCCCGGCUAACUACGUGCCAGCAGCCGCGGUAAUACGGAGGAUGCGAGCUUUAUCCGGAUUUAUUGGGUUUAACGGGUGCGUAGGCGGAAUGCCAGGGCAGCGGUAAAAUCGCGGGGCUCAACCUCGCUCCGCCGUUGAAACUGGCGUUCUUGAGUGGGCGAGAGGUAUGCGGAAUGCGUGGUGUAGCGGUGAAAUGCAUAGAUAUCGAGAGGAACACUCGUGGCGAAGGCGGGUUCCUGGACAUUAACUGACGCUGAGGCACGAAGGCCAGGGGAGCGAAAGGGAUUAGAUACCCUAGUAGUC
Molecule: ribosomal RNA, 439 nt
Filed under: uncultured bacterium
Lineage: Bacteria
Description: partial 16S ribosomal RNA
Rfam family: Bacterial small subunit ribosomal RNA
Source: RNAcentral